This 380-nucleotide ribosomal RNA is filed under the name uncultured Katablepharidophyta. Its description in RNAcentral is "partial small subunit ribosomal RNA". It matches the Rfam family "Eukaryotic small subunit ribosomal RNA", at positions 30 to 432 of the family's 1831-position model. The record is from RNAcentral. Lineage: Eukaryota; Cryptophyceae; Kathablepharidacea.
GCUUGUCUCAAAGAUUAAGCCAUGCAUGUCUAAGUGUAAAUAAGUCUAUACUGUGAAACUGCGAAUGGCUCAUUAAAUCAGUUAUCGUUUAUUUGAUGAUCUCUUACUACUUGGAUAACCGUAGUAAUUCUAGAGCUAAUACAUGCACAAAAUCCCGACUUACGAAGGGAUGUAUUUAUUAGAUACAAACCAACAUCGUGGUGAUUCAUAAUAACUUUGCGAAUCGCUUUUUAAGCGAUAAAUCGAUUGAGUUUCUGCCCUAUCAGCUUUGGAUGGUAGGAUAUGGGCCUACCAUGGCGUUAACGGGUAACGGGGAAUUAGGGUUUGAUUCCGGAGAGGGAGCCUUAGAAACGGCUACCACAUCCAAGGAAGGCAGCAGG